CCUACGGGUGGCAGCAGUGAGGAAUAUUGGUCAAUGGGCGCGAGUCUGAACCAGCCAAGUAGCGUGAAGGAUGACUGUCCUAUGGGUUGUAACCUUCUUUUAUAAAGGAAUAAAGUGAGGCACGUGUGCCUUUUUGCAUGUACUUUAUGAAUAAGGAUCGGCUAACUCCGUGCCAGCAGCCGCGGUAAUACGGAGGAUCCGAGCGUUAUCCGGAUUUAUUGGGUUUAAAGGGAGCGUAGAUGGGUUGUUAAGUCAGUUGUGAAAGUUUGCGGCUCAACCGUAAAAUUGCAAUUGAUACUGGCAGUCGUGAGUACAGUUGAGGUAGGCGGAAUUCGUGGUGUAGCGGUGAAAUGCUUAGAUAUCACGAAGAACUCCGAUUGCGAAGGCAGCUUACUAAACUGCCACUGACAUUGAUGCUCGAAAGUGUGGGUAUCAAACAGGAUUAGAUACCCGAGUAGUC
RNAcentral lists this ribosomal RNA (460 nucleotides) under uncultured bacterium. RNAcentral's name for it is "partial 16S ribosomal RNA". It matches the Rfam family "Bacterial small subunit ribosomal RNA", at positions 338 to 795 of the family's 1533-position model. The record is from RNAcentral.